This 5237-nucleotide long non-coding RNA is filed under the name Gallus gallus (chicken). Lineage: Eukaryota; Metazoa; Chordata; Aves; Galliformes; Phasianidae. The record is from RNAcentral.
GGGAAUUAUCACAAAUAUUCAAAAAGCUCAAAGGGAAGCAAAGCAUUCACAAGCUAUACAAGGCUCUUUAGCUACAUCAUAAUCACCUGAUAGUAGGCACAAAUAAUGCAGCGUACAGAGAACUAUAAGAGGUACAAACACUAUAAAGUUACUUGAGCUAUUCUGUUAUUUAAUGCAGCUGAUAAAAUCUAAGGACAAACUAAAACCUGUGCUGCUGCAAGCAGAACUACAGCAUCAUGAAACAAUUUCAGUUUCACCAAUAAACCGAAACCUCCUGGUCUUGCUCAAAAGAAACAUUUCAUUUCUGCUCAUGUAUAAUGGGAAUUACAUUCCACACAAAAGGGAUCUCAAAGCCUAUAAACAGUGUACCUUUUCAAUCUCUAAGGGACUUUCAUUCCUUAAAUGAAAUAUUAAUGAUAUGUAUUGCCCCUGAAUAGCCCCUUAAUACAAGUCAUAUGUUGAAAUGAUUAAAUGCAAUGGACUAGCGUAGUCUUUGCAAGAGUCCUGAUGGAAAACUUGCUAUGAUAACAAUUACUGAUAUAAGGCCCAUUUUUCUUUUCCACAGCUAGGCAAAGCCGCACCAUUCCCAUUUGCUGGCAAUCUGGGCUCUUUACGCAGAACAAACAUUCUUAAUAAACUGCCUUAAGCAGCAGUAGUCUAUAAUGGGGAGGAGAGGAAAAAAUAAAAUUCCUGGAAUUUAUUUUCUUUACAGGAAAAGCAAUUUGCAAAAAGUCGGUAAGCAUUUUGUUCAGUCUAGUGGAGUUCUUCGAGCUUUUGGAAGCUGAUCCCAAUGCACCUCAACCGUAUGCAGGUUUCUUGGGAUGAAGUAAUACAUUUCACUAAGACAUUCCCUCAUAACAGGCAAAAAUGCAAGUAACUUCACAGCUGUGAAUGUUUUCAGGAGAACAGGACAGCCCUAUGUUGGAGUAUGUGAGGGAGACUGUUCCUACUGCUGGUUUUAAAUCUGAACUCUGAAGCAGGAAUGGCAAAACAUGCGUUUCAAAAUGGAAUGAUCUAACUGCUUCAGCAAACCUACCAGAGCAAUGACUGUCUCUCCAGGUGAUACUGGAACCAAGUAUUGAAAACAGAGAAGAGAGAGACUUGAGGCUACCAACUGAACCAAACAAACAGAUCCAAUGGUGCAUUUGACUCGAUGCGUUUCCCACAUGUACCAUGUUGAAAUAGAGGAUUCAACUGCUCUCAGGAGCCAGGGAGGCUACCAGGAAAACCUAAGUGUAGUUGAUGUCAAGAAAGGGUGAGGAGUGUGCAUCUCCCACUCCCUUACAGAUGAGUCUGUUUAUCCUUGCUCUCAAUUGCAAAUGUGAACCUGCAUCGCCCUAAGUCCUGGUGGAGACUCAGGCAUCACUAAGUGCACUAAUCUCUGCAACCCUGCAGCCUGCUCUCCACUUGUAGCUCUAUCCUUUCCCCCCAAACUGCCACGGCUGUGUACCCCUGAACCUGUAGGCCAGCAUUUUCCUUGUUCUCAUGUCCUGAGCUUUCAGGCUCACUACUUGAUAGUUCCCAACAAGGGGCUCACCAAGGACAAGGGAUUCAGCUUCUUUUGCCUGCUUCUGCACACAACCAGGGACCACCAAGACAAGGUGAGAUUGAAACAGGAGGCUCUACGCAUUAGGCUCUUCAAGCAGGAUUUUCUCUAAAAGCCACUUGUAGGCAUUACUGAAUUGAACUUCAAAGCAUCAGUUAUGGUAAAAAAGGUAUUUCUCCAAAUUACAGAUGUGAAACUGAGACACACACAUUAAAAAUAACCAGCCAACCAAACCACAACCCCCUUCAAUUUCUGUGAGCAAUUUCAGAAACUAUUGAGACAAAUGUGGGCAACUUCAUAACACUGCUUGCUCAGAACAAACACCGCAUGGACUUUGCUGCAUUUGGUUCAAGCCAAAGUUAGGCUUAGUUCACAUCAUUUACAACUCUGUCACAAACAGUGGAACAGUUCCUGAGAACGAUACUCAAGUGCUUAAACCAAAGUACUCUGUCUACAUUUCCCAGCCUCACUCACCACCUCAGUCACAGUGUGCAAAUGAAUCCAACACAGUACCUUUGUUAUCUUUAAAAAUUAUGAAUUUCUGUUAGCUAUUCUGUGCUGGAAGGAAAAAAAAAAGUCUACCUACAUUAAAAAGCAUAACAUACUAUAGAUGUAUAUACGAGAGAAUUAAAGGUAACUCAAUGAUUUCCCUUCAUUUUAGAAUUUGGAUUAUCCCAAUAAGGGCAAGAACUAAUGAGUGAACCAGGCAUGCGAUCCUUUUCCUUGUCAACCAUGUGCCAACUUUUACGAGUGGAGCAAGAAUCUACCAAGAGGAAUCAGAUUCUUCCUAAUUAGCUACUCAUUUCUCUGUAUAUAGGCUCACAGCCUUUUUUUUAAGGGUACAAUUUAAGGAUUCAAUUGAUAAUGUUUUCUGGCCACCCUAUAUCACUAUUUUUCUCAACUUUCUGCCUGAUACAAAGUUCUUCCUUAAUAAAGUUGUGGGGGGGGGGUUGAAACGAGAUGAUCGUUAUGGUCCUUUUUAACCCAGGGCAUUCUAUGAUUCUAUGAAAAAAAUAUGCCUUUCUUUUGGAAUAUAAAUAUAGCCUAUGAUCAGGACAGCUGAGUUCUUCUCUACUAUUUUUUAUGUUUAUACCUAAUGAGAAAAAAAUCUAAGACAGUAAAGAUGAACUAAAAGCAGUUUAAUAGCACAGAGUAAAAGACACAUAUAUAAACUUAGCAGUAACAACCUGACAGCAGAAGUGUAAACUUAUGUUUUAUGUGCUGGUCAUUUAUGAGACUCUAAUAGUGAGAUAUUUAAUGUAAACAACAUGCAAAAAAAUUAUCUGCUCAUAUAUGCUGUUGACAGUAAUUGUUAUAUUCUGUUGCUGUUACAUAUACGUAAUUUCAAUAAACAGGCACUAUUGUUAGGCCUACUGGAUGGCAGAACAGUGAAAUCUGUAUGACGUCUCCACUUCAUGGGAGAAUUUUGUUUUUUCCCUAUUACCUAAGUGUCUGUACUUUAUUUCCAUUAUUCUCUUAUUGCAGUGUCUAACAACAAACUGUGUAUUUACAACAAAAUCAUUGAUUUUUUUUUUAUUUUUAUGUUUAUAUUUAUUUUACUUUAGUUACUUUCUGCUCUCUGUAGGAGAUUUAAAGCUUAUUCAUCUACAUUUCCCAAGUAUGUUUAAGUAAAAACAUUACUAUUUAAUGCAUGGCCAAAGCCAGUAAGGGAUCAUAUAGUCACCGUUGAAAAAAUAAUGCUAGUCUCAUGGCAGAAACAUUUUUUAUGCACAGUAGGACUGUUUUUCCAUACAAAAAUGAACAUACAUAUAUCAGUGUCCAUAACCUGUACUCACAAAUAAAAAUUACUGGCGGAAAAAAACAUCUGUAAUGUCCACAGACCAAGUAGAACCUCUUUUGCUAAAUUUUCAUUUAAUUCUGUACCAUCGAGCUACAAAUAAAAUAACUUGAAGUAUGUUUCAGAGAGAGUUAGUCUGUGUGCUUCUUCCUCACAACUUAUACUUCUUUCCAUCACCUUUUUUCAAGCUUCUCUAUUUCAGAUGUUCUUAAGACAUGUGGGAGGCACACUGCAUCCCAGCCCUCCUACACACAGAUCUACGCCUCUGUCUUUCAUUGUGUCACCCCCACUUUCCUCCUUCCCUGAUCAAGAACACAUUUUUUCUCAGUCUACUCUUGUGAAAAAUAUGGUUCCACUUGGUUCACACUUCCCCUCUUUGAAAGCAUCUAGGAGCUCCUUGGCACCUAGACCAUUCUGAUUGCCACCUGCCUUUCCCCUGAGGGCAUUAUGGUGUUGGAUGCAGAUGGCACUCUGCCACUCAGCUGGUUACAACAUGAAGUCAGAGGAAAACAAGCGCACCAGUAGAUUCAUUUGGAGAUACUCUGAAGAUGGUGGACAUAGGUACCACAAACAAAUCCAGGAAGCAGGGAGAUGAUUAGGAGUGCUUUUCCUGCCCAGGAUGAAAAUAACGAUGAUCACACACUGCAGAGCUGCACUAAGAAUUAAGUCAAGGAUGUUUCAGAUCCUCACGCUGCCCUGCCUGAGAGGAGCAGGGGGUGCACAAGAAGCUGGGAAGAGACAACUAGGACAGUUGACACAGUCUGUCCAAAGAGAUUCCAUACCAUACCAUAUGGCAUCAUGCUGAGCAAUAACACUGGGGGAGUUAGCCAGUGGGGAGGCUGGCUGGACACUGGGCAUCAUGUGAUGAGCAACUGCAUUGCACAUCAUUUGUUUUGUAUACUCUUUUAUCAUUAUUCUUAUUUUCCUUCCUGUUCUGGCCUAUUAAAUUGUCUUUAUCUCAACCCACGAGUUUCACCUUCUUUCCAAUUCUCUCCACCAUCGCACUGUGGGGGCAAUGAGCAAACAGCUGCAUGGUGCUGGGCUACCUGCAGGGUUAAACCACUACAGCAUAUUUUGAAGCCAUCAUCUUCUCAAGAUACACAGAAUGGAGCAUUUUACAAACUGUGAACUAUGCCCAAGGGCUAUUAAAAAAAAAAAAAAAAAGUGACUUCCAUGAAAAUGGAGAUAUCAUGAAGUCAAAUUAAAAGCCCAAAUGCCAACAGAAUAAUAUGAAGAUCUACCCUGUUAUGCCUACUGAAUUACUGUGUUACUCUCCCAGCACUGAAAAUCUGCUUUAUAAAGCUGGAAAGAAAAAAAAUUGGUUUGGCACUGUUUGUAUUUGGAAAUACAGCUGAAAUAUUUCUAUUUUGGGAAACUAGCUUUGAAUAUGUUGCAAGAAAAAUCUCAUCUGAACUAAUCUGAUUAAUCUAAAUAAGCCCUAGGAUGAUUAAGUUCAAGAAACUAUAACACAAAAAAUAAAAUGAAAAAGCAAUAAUAUCACAGUAUAAAACCUCAAUAAAAAUAAACACAUUCUGUCUACUCUGCUAUUAUUAACAAUAUCUAUGAUGAGUAAAAUCCCAAACAUAUUAAGAUAAUACCGAUCAGAUCUAAAAAGUUUUUCUUUUAUUUAAAACAGGCUUAAAUUUUAUAUUAUAAACUUCCCACUAAAAUGUAAUUCAAUUACAAAUCUGUUACUCAGAAAAGCUCGGUAUUUUUGGGUCCAUUAUUUGUAAUAUUUUAAUAUCCAAAAUAAACAUUGUAUUUGACAAACAAAGAAAUAUGCGCACUCCAGUUUCCUAAUGCAAAUGAAACAGGAAUUUCCAUCAGCUCUAAUUUGCUGAUGGUGUCUCAUUCAUGCUAUUUUUAACAGGUACCAGAGAAAGCCAACAUUGC